This is a non-coding RNA of Heterocephalus glaber (naked mole-rat), 2126 nucleotides long. NCBI's taxonomy places the organism in Eukaryota, Metazoa, Chordata, Mammalia, Rodentia, Bathyergidae. The record is from RefSeq and is a predicted model, not a curated record.
CGGGACCAAAGGAGUAGCCGGCCAAUCGGCUGUGCUGUCAGUGGGCAUGGUGGCCAAUAAGAACAGGGAGUGGGGUCCCGGGACUAGAGGAAACGACGAUCCGGACGGGGCUACGGGACCAUGGGUCUUUUGACCAUCCUGAAGAAGAUGAAGCAGAAAGAACGGGAGCUGCGACUGCUCAUGCUCGGCUUGGACAAUGCUGGCAAAACCACCAUCCUCAAGAAGUUCAAUGGGGAAGACGUGGACACCAUCUCCCCGACACUGGGGUUCAACAUCAAGACCCUGGAGCACCGGGGGUUCAAACUGAACAUUUGGGAUGUGGGUGGCCAGAAGUCUCUGCGCUCCUACUGGCGGAACUACUUCGAGAGCACCGACGGCCUCAUAUGGGUGGUGGACAGUGCUGACCGGCAACGCUUGCAGGAUUGCGCAAGGGAGCUGCAGGGCCUGCUGGUGGAAGAGUCAACAGGGUCCAGGCUGCCCUCAGAGCCCCAGCCACCCGCAUCUUCUUUCCCCAGCGCCUGGCUGGAGCUACCCUCCUCAUCUUCGCCAACAAGCAGGACCUGCCCGGAGCACUGUCCUCUAAUGCCAUUCAAGAGGCCCUGGAGCUGGACUCUAUCCGCAGCCACCACUGGUGCAUUCAGGGCUGCAGCGCUGUCACUGGGGAGAACCUGCUGCUGGGCAUCGACUGGCUGCUGGACGACAUCUCCAGUCGCAUCUUCACAGCUGACUGAGUCACUCCAGAUGUCCCCGUCUCGUGGCCCAGGCUCCAGCCCUCACCCACACCACCCAAAGGGCAUGGGUGCCAGCCAGUGGACUAACACGCCACCCCCUGUCCACCAGAACCUGCUGCUGCUGCUGCCCAGUGCCCUCCCAGGGCCAAGGAGGAAAGCACUGGGGCUGGGAGGGGGCACUGCUGCUGCUACUGAGGCCUCUCCUCAUCCUGCACUGUGCCAGGCCCCCUUGUACAGUGGACAACCUGCAUACCUGUAUGAGGCAUCACAGUUCAAGCAGAAGCAUGAAGAGCAAGGGCUCCUGGGAAAUGUGAGGCGAGCAGCUCACUCCAAGCUACCUGGCUAGAAUGGGAGCUGAGCCCAGACCCCAGCACACUCGGCCCUUCCACAUUGCUGCCUCGAGUGAGAGCCCAGGCCUGACCAUCUCUGCUUGAAAUCCAAAUGGCAGGUUCCCUCCUCGCUUCCCCCAGAGGAAGGACCCACUGCAGGGCCUCCAGAGGCCCACAGCACAGACCCCCUCCCAGACUGCACAAAAGCUGGCUCUCAUCAGGGCAGAAGGAAAAAGGAUGCAGGAUGCACACGAGCAAACCGCCCUUCCAUGCCCAAUAUCCGAGCUCCUGGAAAAACACUCUUCAUGGGCAAGGGGAGUUCUGCAGUCAGGGAUCUGCCAAGGGCAAGAUUUUGCUCAUCAGAGGUCUGUGGUGGAGUCUGGGCUGGGGCGGGAAGUCUCCAUAGCAUGGUCAGGCAGAGUCUUUCCUCUCUCCUCUUCCUGCCAGCUGGGUUUGCACCUCCUGGUGACCAGGCAGGUGCAGCUGGAGAAGGCCAGGGGCUACACUGCUAUAGAUGGGAAGAGCUUGGACAACAGGAGAAGGAAGAGGAAGAUUGGGGAGCAUGGGAUACACCAGCCAGAGGGAAGGAUGUGAGCAAGAAGACUUGGAGCCAGGGCUUGCCAGAUACAGUCUUGCUAUAUAGACCAGGCUCACCUUGAACUUACUGUGUGUCGGAAACUGGCAUUGAACUUGCAAUCUUCCUGCCUCAGCCUCCAGAGUACUGGGAUUACAGGGUGCCCUUCCCCCCAAAAAAGGAUGUCAGCCUUUGGAGUGGCCAGAGUGGGGAAGGGGUACUGUGGCUGACAGCUAAACUGCACCUCCUGUCCGAGUGUCUGGAAGGAGACUGGCUGCUGGAGAAGACACUGAGGCAAAUUGUCGCAGUCCAUUUUAGGAGCAAGAGGAGGCUAAGUUCAUCUCAAAGAAAGACCCUGAGGAUAUCAAAGAGGUGGUGGUCUGGAAGCGGUACAGUGACUUCCGCAAGCUACAUGGGGACCUGGCCUACACCCACCGCAACCUCUUCCGACGCCUUGAGGAGUUCCCAGCCUUCCCCCGUGGCCAGGUGUUU